GGGCGGAGGCCGGUGAACGGGCGUCCUUGGCCCUGAAAAGCAGAAGGUCGGCGGUUCGACCCCGCCCCUGCCCACCA
This 77-nucleotide transfer RNA is filed under the name Actinopolymorpha rutila. RNAcentral's name for it is "tRNA-Phe". The record is from RNAcentral. Lineage: Bacteria; Bacillati; Actinomycetota; Actinomycetes; Propionibacteriales; Actinopolymorphaceae.